GGGGGAAAGAAAGUGGAGUCAGAAAAAGCCAUGAAGCCCUGCUGGACACAGAUGCUGGAACUUUACCCGGAAAAAAGAGCAAGAAAUAGCGACCUCCAGAACUUGCAUGCAAACAUGUCAUAUAGGAGAAAGCUCUAUCCAUCUGCAAAGUUCAAGCUGACUUAGAGACCUUAUAAUUUGUAAAGGGGUGAGGUCAACUCAGGUCUAAAGAGGUCAGUCUCCACCUCCAGAUACUUCCAUCAUCCACCAGAGAAGGACCCAGUGCUUCCCCUCAGCAUGCAGCACAUCAUCUUGGACAGGAAGGAUGGACUUCAACAGUGAAACCUGCAGAGCCUUGCCUUCUGCCCUCCGAGACUGAUGCUUACAAAUUACCCAGCUUGUGC
This is a long non-coding RNA of Microtus ochrogaster (prairie vole), 383 nucleotides long. RefSeq lists it as uncharacterized. The record is from RefSeq and is a predicted model, not a curated record. NCBI's taxonomy places the organism in Eukaryota, Metazoa, Chordata, Mammalia, Rodentia, Cricetidae. The transcript has 3 exons.